Molecule: long non-coding RNA, 213 nt
Filed under: Mytilus galloprovincialis (Mediterranean mussel)
Lineage: Eukaryota; Metazoa; Mollusca; Bivalvia; Mytilida; Mytilidae
Source: RNAcentral
AAAUAUUGGCAAGUAACCCACUGUUAACACCGGGACAUAUUCGUGAACAACGAAAAUCAAGGGACGACAAUGGUUCGACCUAAUAGGAUAGAAAGAGUGGUCAAAUCUUAAAAAAAAUUGAUAUGACCAAAGCUCAAUAAAUCAUAACACUGCUUGCAAAGUUUCAUAACAAUAGGAUAUAUAUUAUAGACAAUAUGUUAAACUCUAUACUCU